GACGAACGCUGGCGGCGUGCCUAAUACAUGCAAGUCGAACGAGAGCGACCGGUGCUUGCACUGGUCAAUCUAGUGGCGAACGGGUGAGUAACACGUGGGUAACCUGCCCAUCAGAGGGGGAUAACAUUCGGAAACGGAUGCUAAAACCGCAUAGGUCUUCGAACCGCAUGGUUUGAAGAGGAAAAGAGGCGCAAGCUUCUGCUGAUGGAUGGACCCGCGGUGCAUUAGCUAGUUGGUGAGGUAACGGCUCACCAAGGCCGUGAUGCAUAGCCGACCUGAGAGGGUGAUCGGCCACAUUGGGACUGAGACACGGCCCAAACUCCUACGGGAGGCAGCAGUAGGGAAUCUUCCGCAAUGGACGAAAGUCUGACGGAGCAACGCCGCGUGAGUGAAGAAGGUCUUCGGAUCGUAAAACUCUGUUGUUAGAGAAGAACAAGUGCUAGAGUAACUGUUAGCGCCUUGACGGUAUCUAACCAGAAAGCCACGGCUAACUACGUG
This 498-nucleotide ribosomal RNA is filed under the name uncultured bacterium. RNAcentral's name for it is "partial 16S ribosomal RNA". It matches the Rfam family "Bacterial small subunit ribosomal RNA", at positions 28 to 507 of the family's 1533-position model. The record is from RNAcentral.